This 254-nucleotide ribosomal RNA is filed under the name uncultured bacterium. Its description in RNAcentral is "partial 16S ribosomal RNA". It matches the Rfam family "Bacterial small subunit ribosomal RNA", at positions 524 to 776 of the family's 1533-position model. The record is from RNAcentral.
UACAGAGGUCCCGAGCGUUGUUCGGAUUCACUGGGCGUAAAGGGCGCGUAGGCGGUCAGCACAAGUCAGUUGUGAAAUCUCCGGGCUUAACUCGGAAAGGUCAACUGAUACUGUGCGACUAGAGUGCAGAAGGGGCAACUGGAAUUCUCGGUGUAGCGGUGAAAUGCGUAGAUAUCGAGAGGAACACCUGCGGCGAAGGCGGGUUGCUGGGCUGACACUGACGCUGAUGCGCGAAAGCCAGGGGAGCGAACGGG